AAAUUUUUGUUUUUUUUUUGAGUUCAAUAAUCCCUGCACACAACUAAAACAAAUGUUUCAACCUUUCAGCUUUUUCCGGUGACAUAAACUGACAAUUCGAACAAGGCGGCAGAUGUUCUCCGGAUAACUUUAAAUGAGACCGAAUACAAUUUCGAACAAAUAAAGUGCAUAAAGAGGAUCUAGAUCAAGUCUUGAUUGGGAUGAUACCAACUUAUGAAGAGACUCAUUGGUGAGCAUGCAGAUUCAUCUGAAAAAAGCGCUGUAUUUGCGACCGUUUCGGGCAUUAUCGACCUAUCCGACAGGGAGCUAGUACGAUUUCGACGAAACAAAGUGCACCAUAUGAAAUUGAAUGAUUUAGAUCAUGUCUUGAUUGGGAUGAUAGCAACCAAAAAAUUGUAAGAUUAAGCGUUUCUUAAGGAGAAGCAUUGGGGAGUAUACAGAUUCAUCUGAAAAAAGCGCUGUAUUUGCGACCGUUUCGGGCAUUAUCGACCUACCCGACAGGGAGCUAGUACGAUUUCGACGAAACAAAGUGCGUGCACCAUAUGAAAUUGAAUGUUGAAGCACUGUUCGAGUGUCUAAUGCAGUGAAACGAAAAAUGAUCUAGAUCGAUUCUUGAUUGGGAUGAUACCAACUUAUGAAGAGACUCAUUGGUGAGCAUGCAGAUUCAUCUGAAAAAAGCGCUGUAUUUGCGACCGUUUCGGGCAUUAUCGACCUAUCCGACAGGGAGCUAGUACGAUUUCGACGAAACAAAGUGCGCCAUUUGAAAUUGAAUGAUUUAGAUCAUGUCUUGAUUGGGAUGAUAGCAACCAAAAAAUUGUAAGAUUAAGCGUUUCUUAAGGAGAAGCAUUGGGGAGUAUACAGAUUCAUCUGAAAAAAGCGCUGUAUUUGCGACCGUUUCGGGCAUUAUCGACCUACCCGACAGGGAGCUAGUACGAUUUCGACGAAACAAAGUGCACCAUAUGAAAUUGAAUGUUGAAGCACUGUUCGAGUGUCUAAUGCAGUGAAACGAAAAAUGAUCUAGAUCGAUUCUUGAUUGGGAUGAUACCAACUUAUGAAGAGACUCAUUGGUGAGCAUGCAGAUUCAUCUGAAAAAAGCGCUGUAUUUGCGACCGUUUCGGGCAUUAUCGACCUAUCCGACAGAAAGCUGUGGUCGUUGUCCUCACCGCGUCAAAAACAAACUUAUUCUGUUUACAAAAUGUCAGUUAUAAAGGUAACAAAAGGUAAAGUAAAGCAACAAAAUUUACAAUAGCGAAAAUGAGAGAAGAUCAAUUGUAUUUCAAUUUGUAAUUUGUACUUGUGCUUAUAUGUUAAUUACAAAUUUGAUACUGAAUAAAAUUAAUAUAUUACAGCCAA
Drosophila willistoni is the source of this 1353-nucleotide long non-coding RNA. RefSeq lists it as uncharacterized. The transcript is spliced from 19 exons. The record is from RefSeq and is a predicted model, not a curated record. Lineage: Eukaryota; Metazoa; Arthropoda; Insecta; Diptera; Drosophilidae.